UGGGGAAUAUUGCACAAUGGGGGAAACCCUGAUGCAGCGACGCCGCGUGAGUGAAGAAGUAUUUCGGUAUGUAAAGCUCUAUCAGCAGGGAAGAAAAUGACGGUACCUGACUAAGAAGCCCCGGCUAACUACGUGCCAGCAGCCGCGGUAAUACGUAGGGGGCAAGCGUUAUCCGGAUUUACUGGGUGUAAAGGGAGCGUAGGUGGUAUGGUAAGUCAGAAGUGAAAACCCAGGGCUCAACCUUGGGAUUGCUUUUGAAACUAUCAGACUAGAGUGCAGGAGGGGUAAGUGGAAUUCCUAGUGUAGCGGUGAAAUGCGUAGAUAUUAGGAGGAACACCAGUGGCGAAGGCGGCUUACUGGACUGUAACUGACACUGAGGCUCGAAAGCGUGGGGAGCAAACAGGAUUAGAUACCCUGGUAGUCCCUGAGACU
RNAcentral lists this ribosomal RNA (432 nucleotides) under uncultured Clostridium sp. RNAcentral describes it as "bacterial SSU rRNA". It matches the Rfam family "Bacterial small subunit ribosomal RNA", at positions 355 to 804 of the family's 1533-position model. The record is from RNAcentral. Lineage: Bacteria; Bacillati; Bacillota; Clostridia; Eubacteriales; Clostridiaceae.